This 443-nucleotide ribosomal RNA is filed under the name uncultured bacterium. RNAcentral's name for it is "partial 16S ribosomal RNA". It matches the Rfam family "Bacterial small subunit ribosomal RNA", at positions 339 to 795 of the family's 1533-position model. The record is from RNAcentral.
CUACGGGGGGCUCCAGCCGAGAAUAUUCCGCAAUGGGCGAAAGCCUGACGGAGCGGCGCCGCGUGAUUGAUGAAGCUCUUCGGAGUGUAAAAAUCUUUUAUAAGUGAAGAAGUACGCUGACAUUAACUUAUGAAUAAGGGGCUCCAAACUUCGUGCCAGCAGGAGCGGUAAUACGAAGGCCCCAAGUGUUAUCCGGAAUUAUUGGGCGUAAAGGGUGCGUAGGCGGCUGUAUUAGUCGUAGGUUAAAGAUCCGGGCUCAACCUGGAGAAUGCCUACGAAACGGUAUGGCUAGAGUAUGUGAGAGGUGUGCGGAACUUAUGGUGUAGGGGUGAAAUCCGUUGAUAUCAUAGGGAACACCAAAUGCGAAGGCAGCACACUGGCACAUUACUGACGCUGAGGCACGAAACCCUGGGUAGCGAAUGGGAUUAGAUACCCCCGUAGUC